GCAUCGUACAAGAAACCGAAGACCUUUAUAUUUCGGAUUACGGAUCGGAGAGUCGUUUGGUGGUCGCGCGCGGAUUGGGUCGAGACCCGACGGCGUGCGCCGCGGGAGGCCGAUUGCACGUGACGACAAGCAAUCGAACGCUGUAAAAGGUACACACGAGAGCGGAUCGGCAGAGGAUCUCGUUAUGGGCUUAGCGCCCUAGUGCUAUUUGAUAGUUUACUUUCCUAUGUUGCAUUAGAGUUACCCUAUACAUGUAUUGAGAGUAGAUGAUGUAUAGGAUGUGAGGUAUUUUGAGAUAAAUGUAAACUAAUGUUUAUCUUUUGAAGAAUGUAAGCUUAUAUUCAUAGUUUGGAAAAGAAUGCAAGUUGUAAUUAAAUGUAUCGAGCUGAAUGGUUGUAAUAGAAUAGUUAAGUAUCUCUCUUUUGUUUCA
Ananas comosus (pineapple) is the source of this 430-nucleotide long non-coding RNA. RefSeq lists it as uncharacterized. The record is from RefSeq and is a predicted model, not a curated record. Lineage: Eukaryota; Viridiplantae; Streptophyta; Magnoliopsida; Poales; Bromeliaceae. The transcript has 2 exons.